This 559-nucleotide ribosomal RNA is filed under the name Epicoccum huancayense. Its description in RNAcentral is "eukaryotic LSU rRNA". It matches the Rfam family "Eukaryotic large subunit ribosomal RNA", at positions 38 to 600 of the family's 3401-position model. The record is from RNAcentral. Lineage: Eukaryota; Fungi; Ascomycota; Dothideomycetes; Pleosporales; Didymellaceae.
GCAUAUCAAUAAGCGGAGGAAAAGAAACCAACAGGGAUUGCCCUAGUAACGGCGAGUGAAGCGGCAACAGCUCAAAUUUGAAAUCUGGCGUCUUUGGCGUCCGAGUUGUAAUUUGCAGAGGGCGCUUUGGCAUUGGCAGCGGUCCAAGUUCCUUGGAACAGGACGUCACAGAGGGUGAGAAUCCCGUACGUGGUCGCUAGCCUUUACCGUGUAAAGCCCCUUCGACGAGUCGAGUUGUUUGGGAAUGCAGCUCUAAAUGGGAGGUAAAUUUCUUCUAAAGCUAAAUACUGGCCAGAGACCGAUAGCGCACAAGUAGAGUGAUCGAAAGAUGAAAAGCACUUUGGAAAGAGAGUUAAAAAGCACGUGAAAUUGUUGAAAGGGAAGCGCUUGCAGCCAGACUUGCCUGUAGUUGCUCAUCCGGGUUUCUACCCGGUGCACUCUUCUAUAGGCAGGCCAGCAUCAGUUUGGGCGGUUAGAUAAAGGUCUCUGUCAUGUACCUCCUUUCGGGGAGAACUUAUAGGGGAGACGACAUGUAACCAGCCUGGACUGAGGUCCGCGC